GGUAUAGUUCUUCGGAAUUAGAGACCGGCGCACGGGUGCGUAACGCGUAUGCAAUCUACCUUUUACAGAGGGAUAGCCCAGAGAAAUUUGGAUUAAUACCUCAUAGUAUAGCAGUUUCGCAUGAAACCACUAUUAAAGUCACAACGGUAAAAGAUGAGCAUGCGUCCCAUUAGCUAGUUGGUAAGGUAACGGCUUACCAAGGCUACGAUGGGUAGGGGUCCUGAGAGGGAGAUCCCCCACACUGGUACUGAGACACGGACCAGACUCCUACGGGAGGCAGCAGUGAGGAAUAUUGGACAAUGGGCGCAAGCCUGAUCCAGCCAUGCCGCGUGCAGGAUGACGGUCCUAUGGAUUGUAAACUGCUUUUAUACAGGAAGAAACCCUGGUUCGUGAACCAGCUUGACGGUACUGUAAGAAUAAGGAUCGGCUAACUCCGUGCCAGCAGCCGCGGUAAUACGGAGGAUCCAAGCGUUAUCCGGAAUCAUUGGGUUUAAAGGGUCCGUAGGCGGUUUAAUAAGUCAGUGGUGAAAGCCCAUCGCUCAACGGUGGAACGGCCAUUGAUACUGUUAAACUUGAAUUAUUAGGAAGUAACUAGAAUAUGUAGUGUAGCGGUGAAAUGCUUAGAGAUUACAUGGAAUACCAAUUGCGAAGGCAGGUUACUACUAAUGGAUUGACGCUGAUGGACGAAAGCGUGGGUAGCGAACAGGAUUAGAUACCCUGGUAGUCCACGCCGUAAACGAUGGAUACUAGCUGUUGGGGGCAAUCUCAGUGGCUAAGCGAAAGUGAUA
This 788-nucleotide ribosomal RNA is filed under the name Flavobacterium sp. 2AAIII. RNAcentral's name for it is "bacterial SSU rRNA". It matches the Rfam family "Bacterial small subunit ribosomal RNA", at positions 66 to 862 of the family's 1533-position model. The record is from RNAcentral. Lineage: Bacteria; Pseudomonadati; Bacteroidota; Flavobacteriia; Flavobacteriales; Flavobacteriaceae.